Molecule: long non-coding RNA, 269 nt
Organism: Humulus lupulus (European hop)
Lineage: Eukaryota; Viridiplantae; Streptophyta; Magnoliopsida; Rosales; Cannabaceae
Exons: 3
Source: RefSeq, a predicted model, not a curated record
UAGGUUUGUGGCAUCAGCUCGCUAAUUGGCGAAAACUUUGGAGGUGUCGUUGGUGAAUGAUUUAGGCUAUACGAAGAGAUACGUACGCUGCUUGCAGAUUUCUGAAGUGGUUAAUAGUAUGAAAGACUUGAUUGAUUAUAGUCGAGAAACAGGGACAGGACCUAUGGAGAGUUUGAACAAGUUCCCUCGAAGGACUAGUACGCCAUCUGGGGUUCACAGUCAAGCACAACAUUCUGAAGAACAGCUACAACAGCAACAACAGCAUCAUC